ACGUAGGAGGCGAGCGUUAUCCGGAUUUACUGGGCGUAAAGCGCGUGCAGGCGGUGCGAUAAGUCGUGCGUGAAAGCUCCCAGGCUUAACCGGGAGAGGACGUGCGAGACUGUCGGACUAGAGGCAGGUAGAGGCAAGUGGAAUUCCGGGUGUAGUGGUGAAAUGCGUAGAGAUCCGGAGGAACCCCAGUGGUGGAGACGGCGCCCUGGGUCACACCUGACACUGAGACGCGAAAGCGUGGGGAGCGAACGG
RNAcentral lists this ribosomal RNA (252 nucleotides) under uncultured prokaryote. Its description in RNAcentral is "partial 16S ribosomal RNA". It matches the Rfam family "Bacterial small subunit ribosomal RNA", at positions 525 to 775 of the family's 1533-position model. The record is from RNAcentral.